GACGAACGCUGGCGGCGUGCUUAACACAUGCAAGUCGAACGGAAAGGCCCUGCUUUUGUGGGGUGCUCGAGUGGCGAACGGGUGAGUAACACGUGAGUAACCUGCCCUUGACUUUGGGAUAACUUCAGGAAACUGGGGCUAAUACCGGAUAGGAGCUCCUGCUGCAUGGUGGGGGUUGGAAAGUUUCGGCGGUUGGGGAUGGACUCGCGGCUUAUCAGCUUGUUGGUGGGGUAGUGGCUUACCAAGGCUUUGACGGGUAGCCGGCCUGAGAGGGUGACCGGCCACAUUGGGACUGAGAUACGGCCCAGACUCCUACGGGAGGCAGCAGUGGGGAAUAUUGCACAAUGGGCGGAAGCCUGAUGCAGCAACGCCGCGUGCGGGAUGACGGCCUUCGGGUUGUAAACCGCUUUCGCCUGUGACGAAGCGUGAGUGACGGUAAUGGGUAAAGAAGCACCGGCUAACUACGUGCCAGCAGCCGCGGUGAUACGUAGGGUGCGAGCGUUGUCCGGAUUUAUUGGGCGUAAAGGGCUCGUAGGUGGUUGAUCGCGUCGGAAGUGUAAUCUUGGGGCUUAACCCUGAGCGUGCUUUCGAUACGGGUUGACUUGAGGAAGGUAGGGGAGAAUGGAAUUCCUGGUGGAGCGGUGGAAUGCGCAGAUAUCAGGAGGAACACCAGUGGCGAAGGCGGUUCUCUGGGCCUUUCCUGACGCUGAGGAGCGAAAGCGUGGGGAGCGAACAGGCUUAGAUACCCUGGUAGUCCACGCUGUAAACGGUGGGUACUAGGUGUGGGGUCCAUUCCACGGGUUCCGUGCCGUAGCUAACGCUUUAAGUACCCCGCCUGGGGAGUACGGCCGCAAGGCUAAAACUCAAAGGAAUUGACGGGGCCCCGCACAAGCGGCGGAGCAUGCGGAUUAAUUCGAUGCAACGCGUAGAACCUUACCUGGGUUUGACAUGGAUCGGGAGUGCCCAGAGAUGGGUGUGCCUCUUUUGGGGUCGGUUCACAGGUGGUGCAUGCCUGUCGUCAGCUCGUGUCGUGAGAUGUUGGGUUAAGUCCCGCAACGAGCGCAACCCUUGUUCACUGUUGCCAGCACGUUAUGGUGGGGACUCAGUGGAGACCGCCGGGGUCAACUCGGAGGAAGGUGGGGAUGACGUCAAGUCCUCAUGCCCCUUAUGUCCAGGGCUUCACGCAUGCUACAAUGGCUGGUACAGAGAGUGGCGAGCCUGUGAGGGUGAGCGAAUCUCGGAAAGCCGGUCUCAGUUCGGAUUGGGGUCUGCAACUCGACCUCAUGAAGUCGGAGUCGCUAGUAAUCGCAGAUCAGCAACGCUGCGGUGAAUACGUUCCCGGGGCU
This 1346-nucleotide ribosomal RNA is filed under the name uncultured bacterium. RNAcentral describes it as "bacterial SSU rRNA". It matches the Rfam family "Bacterial small subunit ribosomal RNA", at positions 28 to 1381 of the family's 1533-position model. The record is from RNAcentral.